RNAcentral lists this non-coding RNA (236 nucleotides) under Pseudooceanicola atlanticus. Its description in RNAcentral is "Ruegeria cis90 sRNA". The stretch from base 2 to 201 matches the Rfam family "Ruegeria cis90 sRNA". From Rfam's summary of the family: Cis-encoded. Targets ABC transporter. The record is from Rfam by way of RNAcentral. Lineage: Bacteria; Pseudomonadati; Pseudomonadota; Alphaproteobacteria; Rhodobacterales; Paracoccaceae.
AGGUUUCGCGCACCAGCGGAUCGGCGAAGUUGGCCAGUUGGAACGGGUCGAAAUAGCCGCCCGGGUUGGCCGUCAUCCAGCUGUAGAUGCGGGACGAGCCCAGCCAUUGCAGCAGCAGGUAGGACGCCUCGGGGUGGUCGGAUUGCGAGGACACGCAGGCGGUCAGGUUCAGCCACAGCACGGUGCGGGCGGAAAUGCCGUCGUCAUGCUCGCGGCCCGGCGGCAGGUGGGUGCCG